AAACCGUGCCUAUUAUAAGCUGGUCCUUGCGAUUUAACGCUCUAUGUGGUACAGCAAUUGUAAUGGGUAGGCGCGACGCUCACCGCCAGGCGCGACGCUCACCGCCAGGCGCACGACUUUGUUCCACCCGUCACUUGGUAUGAUCUCCACAACAGCAUUCCGUCGAAGAGACUCAUCUAAAAAUAAAUACCUUGCUGCUAAGAAACGUUGACGUUAUUGAACAAUAUUAACUGACAACAUUAAUCGAAACUGACACUGGCCCAAGCCUAGUGGCCGCCAUUAAGGAAUUAGAAAUAGAAUAGAACUUUGAUUUCGACUAAGCAAAGAUGGCAAGACAAGCAGGUUUUCUGUAUUUACCAUAGAUAUAGGAAAAAAGGGGAGAUUUGGUAUGAGGGCGUGGUUCGUGUCGUCUCGAUAUGGUCAUUUUGACCAUAUCGGAGGUGACACGCCUUCAAACAUCGCUACAGUAACAUGGCGAUCGUUGUACAUACAAGAUCUCUCCAAACACGUGAAAAUGCCAAGUUGUAGUGAUAAG
This is a long non-coding RNA of Hyposmocoma kahamanoa, 535 nucleotides long. RefSeq lists it as uncharacterized. The record is from RefSeq and is a predicted model, not a curated record. The transcript has 3 exons. NCBI's taxonomy places the organism in Eukaryota, Metazoa, Arthropoda, Insecta, Lepidoptera, Cosmopterigidae.